RNAcentral lists this unclassified non-coding RNA (431 nucleotides) under fungal sp. Its description in RNAcentral is "partial internal transcribed spacer region". The stretch from base 1 to 46 matches the Rfam family "Eukaryotic small subunit ribosomal RNA", at positions 1786 to 1831 of the family's 1831-position model. Lineage: Eukaryota; Fungi. The record is from RNAcentral.
AAGUCGUAACAAGGUUUCCGUAGGUGAACCUGCGGAAGGAUCAUUAACACGUAUCCACGUAUCCACCCCUGCGCACCUGUUUUUAUUGCCCUGCUGCUCUACAUAUUGGCAACCUUACUUGGCUUCGUUGAAUGGGGCUAGAAAUUUAUUUCUAGUCACAAGCUGGGUUUGGAACAUGACUGUUACAUACUUCGGUAUGGUUGGCCGCCAGACAAUGUGUAGAUCGGCCGGUUAAACUGCGUUCUACUUAUUACUUCUCCAUUCAAGAGGGAAAAAUUGAGCGUGUCCAAUCAACCCCUUUCACCGCUUUUUUGCUAGUUGACUUUAUAAUGUUGAAUGUUGUGCAGUGGUUCAUUUCACUGUGCUGUUCACACGUUUAAUUUAUUUGAACGUUAAAGAUACAACUCUUAGCAAUGGAUAUCUUGGUUCUC